Molecule: ribosomal RNA, 459 nt
Filed under: uncultured bacterium
Lineage: Bacteria
Description: partial 16S ribosomal RNA
Rfam family: Bacterial small subunit ribosomal RNA
Source: RNAcentral
CCUACGGGUGGCAGCAGUGAGGAAUAUUGGUCAAUGGGCGGGAGCCUGAACCAGCCAAGCCGCGUGAGGGAAGAAGGUACAGCGUAUCGUAAACCUCUUUUGUCAGGGAACAAAGGCGGGGACUAGUCCCCGGAUGAGGGUACCUGAAGAAAAAGCAUCGGCUAACUCCGUGCCAGCAGCCGCGGUAAUACGGAGGAUGCGAGCUUUAUCGGGAUUUAUGGGGGUUAAGGGGUGGGCAGGCGGCCUGUUAAGUUAGCGGUAAAAGCUCGGGGGUCAACCCCGGAGAGCCGUUGAAACUGGCGGGCUAGAGUUGGAGAGAGGUAGGCGGAAUGCGCGGUGUAGCGGUGAAAUGCGUAGAGAUCGCGCAGAACCCUGAUUGCGAAGGCGGCGUACCGGCUCCACACUGACGCUGAGGCACGAAAGCGUGGGGAGCAAACAGGAUUAGAUACCCUAGUAGUC